Long non-coding RNA from Oncorhynchus keta (chum salmon), 1913 nucleotides. RefSeq lists it as uncharacterized. The transcript is spliced from 3 exons. NCBI's taxonomy places the organism in Eukaryota, Metazoa, Chordata, Actinopteri, Salmoniformes, Salmonidae. The record is from RefSeq and is a predicted model, not a curated record.
UAUGUCCCUGAACAAAGGGGGGGUCAAAAUCAAAAGUAACAGUCAGUAUCUGGUGUGGCCACCAGCUGCAUUAAGUACUGCAGGGCAUCUCCUCCUCAUGGAAUGCACCAGAUUUGCCAGUUCUUGCUGUGAGAUGUUACCCCACUCUUCCACCAAGGCACCUGCAAGUUCCCGGACAUUUCUGGGGGGAAUGGCCCUCACCCUCUGAUCCAACAGGUCCCAGACGUGUUCAAUGGGAUUGAGAUCUGUGCUCUUCGCUGGCUUUGGCAGAACACUGACAUUCCUGUCUUGCAGGAUAUCACACACAGGAUGAGCCUGCAGCAAGGGUACCACAUGAGGGAGGAGGAUGUCUUCCCUGUAACGCACAGUGUUGAGAUUGCCUGCAAUGGCAACAAGCUCAGUCCGAUGAUGCUGUGACACACCGCCCCAGACCACGACGGACCCUCCACCUCUAAACCGAUCCCGCUCCAGAGUACAGGCCUCGGUGUAAUGCUCAUUAUAACAUAUUUGGUCUGACAGACAUUUAUGUCACAACCAGAAUGCAUUGCAUGAUGUCAACAAACAUGGCUCCACACAUAGCUGACAAUUAUCUUAGCAUUAGCUCAUCAUAAUCAGUGUAACCUUCAAAAACGUAUUUUACACACAUAUGUGUAUUUGAAGAGGCACCAGGUAUUUAUAAAACACAUUUACCAUGUGCCUUUUGAAGAGGCACCAGGUAUUUAUAAAACACAUUUACCAUGUGCCUUUUGAGAAAAACAACAACCGGGGGAAACAACUGCGGGCUGAGUAUGUUCAGAGGGUGAUGGUGCAUGAUGCUGCUGUGCACCAACAAGAGUAUCUUUGUUGAUGAAGUGGGCUUCAACCUGGCCAAAACUCGGCGCCGUGGGCGGAACCUCAUCGGUCAACGGUCGACCGUCCAAGUGCCUGGACAACAUGGGGAUAACAUCUCCCGGUGCGCAGAUAUCUCUGAAGAUGGUGUGGCAGGAUGUAUGCCAUAAUUUGGAUCCUACAACGCUGCCCACCUCAUUGUGUUUCUUAAUGAAUUUGAACAGGCCUGUCAAGGUGAAGAGGUCACAUAUGUCAUUGUGUGGGACAAUGGCAGGUUCCACCAUGCUAAGGUGGGUCAGGCAUGGUUUCGGGCCCAUUCCCGAUUUCAUGAUCCUAUACCUGCCCCUUGCUCUCUUUUCCUCAAUUCGAUUGAGGAUUGUUUUUCAGCAUGGGGUUUGAAGGUGUACGAUCGCGAUCCCCAUGAGCGUGCCAGCCUCCUUCAGGCCAUGGAUGAGGCAUGUAAAGACGUCAGUGAUGACCAAUGACAAGCUUGGAUUCCCCAUGCCAAAAGGUUUUUCCUGCAGUGCAGGAACAAAGAGGACAUUAACUGUGAUGUGGAUGUGAAUUUAUGGGAAAAUCUUCAAGACAGGCUUGAUGCAAAUGAAUGUGUGCUAAACAUGACAAUUUAUUUAAAUUAAUUUAAUUUGUUUCAUUUCAUUUAUUCUAUUUGAUUACAGACAGUACACCUACUUUGGAAUUAUAUUUGAAAAAUAAAAUGUUUUUUUUAGCGUGAAUGAUUUUAGAGGAUGUCUUCAUUGAUCACACCUUUGAUAGAUAUGAUGAAAAUAGUAGAUGUUCUUGUACAUUUUGUUGGGUAAUGUAAGUGUAUUGCCUAAUGUGAAAACUGUGUAAUCUACUGUAAUUCACAGUACUGUACAUAUUACUUUCAGCACCUCCAAUGGUGAUUUUUGUUUCUAUUGGAUUAGAAGGAUUAACGACUAAAUUGAAAAGAUAUCAUUAUGUUGCGUUUAUUAAACCAAUGUUCUCAUUACAUUUCACAAUAAGCGUAUAUUUUUAAUCCAUGGUUGUCAGGUGAGAGAUGUUUACAAUACAAAUGAAUGAACAAUGACAGGUAUUGAAUGAAA